CUGACAUCCAACAAAAAAUUACUUGUCAUGCAAAGAGGCAGGAAAAUGUGACCAUCAAUCAGGACAAAAACUUAGAGUCACGAAUAUAUUGUAUGCUAAAGGAAUAGCCACUGGAGAGGUUAAAGAAAUAGGAGAAAGAAGAUAACUGAAAGAGAAAGUAGUCUGAAG
Molecule: long non-coding RNA, 168 nt
Filed under: Mustela putorius furo (domestic ferret)
Lineage: Eukaryota; Metazoa; Chordata; Mammalia; Carnivora; Mustelidae
Description: lncRNA (ENSMPUG00000030238.1)
Source: RNAcentral